UUCAAAAAGGGUUGCAACUGCCCGCAACAAGACCAGAAGGCAUCAACAAAGGCAUGGAAAUUCAAGCGAGAAAAAAAAAAACAACUAAAGACUGAGAAGAGUAAGAAACCUUGUUUGAACUAAAAGGAAGACAUAAUUCACAAGAGACAUCGGACAUGCAGGGAUCCAUCUGGGAGGGCAAGGAACUCACCAAGGGACUUGGAAAGAUAGGGGAGAAAACAAUCAGAAAGGCAAGAUACACGGGGAAAAAAGCAACAGCAGCAGGACAACUUCAGAAGUCAGGAAACAAAGAGAUGAAUGAGUGAUGGAAACAAUGAAACACAAACAACCAAGGAGCAGUGCCAACCGUUGGCUGCCGAGGCCACAGUCUUUCCUGAGGAAGUGUCGAAACCAUUUAACCAUUCUCCAUCCCUAAAUGUCAUUCUUACAUCAUUUGUCAUUGAGUGUCAGCAGGUUGUGUCACCACUGUAAAGAGGUCAGUGGUUCGAUGGUAGGAUUCCUGAUUGUAACAUGUACAACUUUGCCGAACUUUGGUGAACUUUGUUGUAUGGACCACAUCCUACUAGGGUUGUACCCCACACAUACACCCCACUAUGGCCAUCGCAAUUAAGUGAAAGAAGUUUUUCUAAUUAAUGAAUCAAUAAGAUAUUAUCCUAUAUAUACUCCGAACUGAUCUGUCCCUCUGACUGCACACUUCACCACCAUCAGCGCCAGUAUGCCCCGUUGACAUCCCUUAUCCAAUCACAUCACAUACAAUGUAUAAACUGUGUUGGCUGUUCAGGAUAUUUGUCAUUAUUGAAUAUUUAAUUUUUGAUUGUGUACUUUACACUGUUUCUUGAAUAAAACGUCCAUGACAGAGAAUGAGUGACAGAGGGUAAAAGACACUUGAACAACUGUCAGGGAAGAUGAAUUUAAAAAAACAAUGACAAAGAGUUUAAAGGAGUUUCAAUGUUUUAAUGCAAAAAAUAAUGAAUCUGUUCUCUGUUUUUACCCGAGUCUACACACAAACAACACAUCGUGUGAGAGGGGGGACACCCAGUACAGCUCAGUAGUUCACUAGUCAAUCUGCUCUGUGAUCGUAGUAUAUACACUGUAUGUGGACAUUAAAUAACAUUGGUCUCACACAGUAGGUCAAUCAGAACCGUCUGAGUGGAGAAGGUUCAGGAGUGUUUGUACCAUCUUUGAACGCAUAAAGUGACGUUGUCCACAUCCAAACAGGUUGGACACGACAUUUUAAAAAGCAGCUGAAACCACUUAACAGACACACUGUAAACUAAUAUUAGCUCCUCAUCAAUUUACAAAAUUGUCAUUUUCCAUUCAACAGGCCCUUGACAGUCAAUGACGCACACGCAGUAGAACUCUUCGGGUAAGAAAAGAAAAUAACGUCUCUCCACCACAGAUAAAAAUAGGACCAGAAAGAGAUCACACUGCCACCUCAUAUUAAUAUUCUUUACCCUUUACCCAGCAGAACAGUGUGCCUGAACAGUGGAUUAUUAUUAUUAUUAUUAUUCCUCUUUUGCUCCACUGCUGUUGAUUGAACUCCCAGCAUGAACCAAACAGUUUUUUCCCCCACAACCUGUUUUCAUUUGUAUUGUUGUGACCUUUGAAAACCUGUCCACCACCCAGUGUGAUUUGUGCUUGAACUUGUGGAAUCAAUUUAAUAAAGUCAAAAACAUAUAACAAAUAACGCAGAACUAAACAGCUUUAGAAGAACGACUGUAUUAGAAUAACAGAGACUGUAAUUGUUUUUUUUAUUUU
Long non-coding RNA from Cynoglossus semilaevis (tongue sole), 1758 nucleotides. RefSeq lists it as uncharacterized. The record is from RefSeq and is a predicted model, not a curated record. NCBI's taxonomy places the organism in Eukaryota, Metazoa, Chordata, Actinopteri, Pleuronectiformes, Cynoglossidae. The transcript has 2 exons.